UGCCAGCAGCCGCGGUAAUACCGAAGGUGCAAGCGUUACUCGGAAUUACUGGGCGUAAAGCGUCCGCAGGCGUCCUACAAAGUCUGACGUAAAAUUGCAGAGCUCAACUCUGCACGCGUGUUGGAAACUUGUAGGAUUGAGUCAUAUAGAGGCAACUGGAAUUUCAUGUGGAGGGGUAAAAUCCGUUGAUCCAUGAAGGAACGCCAAAAGCGAAGGCAGGUUGCUGGAUAUGUACUGACGCUCAGGGACGAAAGCGUGGGGAGCAAAGGGGAUUAGAUA
RNAcentral lists this ribosomal RNA (279 nucleotides) under uncultured bacterium. RNAcentral's name for it is "partial 16S ribosomal RNA". It matches the Rfam family "Bacterial small subunit ribosomal RNA", at positions 506 to 784 of the family's 1533-position model. The record is from RNAcentral.